Molecule: ribosomal RNA, 356 nt
Filed under: Photorhabdus sp.
Lineage: Bacteria; Pseudomonadati; Pseudomonadota; Gammaproteobacteria; Enterobacterales; Morganellaceae
Description: bacterial SSU rRNA
Rfam family: Bacterial small subunit ribosomal RNA
Source: RNAcentral
GAGGGUGGGGGAUAACCACUGGAAACGGUGGCUAAUACCGCAUAAUGUCGCAAGACCAAAGUGGGGGACCUGAAAGGGCCUCACGCCCGUGGAUGAACCCAGAUGGGAUUAGCUGGUAGGUGGGGUAAUGGCUCACCUAGGCGACGAUCCCUAGCUGGUCUGAGAGGAUGACCAGCCACACUGGGACUGAGACACGGCCCAGACUCCUACGGGAGGCAGCAGUGGGGAAUAUUGCACAAUGGGCGCAAGCCUGAUGCAGCCAUGCCGCGUGUAUGAAGAAGGCCUUCGGGUUGUAAAGUACUUUCAGCGGGGAAGGAAGGGGUUGAUUUGAACAGGGUCAAUUCUUGACGUUACCC